GGGGUCGAUUUAUGGUUUCGACGGAAUAAGAUGAGUACGGAUGGCAAGUCGAGGCAAACGUAAAUGCAUCAGUUAAUAAUAACUGGCAAUAAAAUUAAAAAUACACUUUCUACACUUUUCGCAAGAAAUGCUGUAGCUUUUGCCUAAUUUAAUUUAGGGAAGUGUGCUUCUUCUAUCUCUUUUCCUGUGAGAGAUUUAAGAGGCUUAAAAAGCAGGAUAUAUUACUAUGAUGUCUAUAAGUAGUAACGAAUUUUAUAGGCUGGUUGUGUAAUAAUUUGUUAAUUAGUUUUUUGCACAACGACAUUUCUUAAUUAACUAAACUUGUAGAGGUCUGUAUAAUGCUUUUUUCGGACGGGAGUUCAAUUCUCCCCGGCUCCACCA
Molecule: transfer-messenger RNA, 381 nt
Filed under: bovine gut metagenome
Rfam family: transfer-messenger RNA
About the family: Bacterial tmRNA, also known as 10Sa RNA or SsrA, is named for its dual tRNA and mRNA-like properties.
Source: RNAcentral